Molecule: ribosomal RNA, 480 nt
Filed under: uncultured bacterium
Lineage: Bacteria
Description: partial 16S ribosomal RNA
Rfam family: Bacterial small subunit ribosomal RNA
Source: RNAcentral
GACGAAUGCUGGCUGCGUGCUUAACACAUGCAAGUCGAACGGUGAAGGGGAGCUUGCUCCCCGGAUCAGUGGCGAACGGGUGAGUAACACGUGGGCAACCUGCCCCUCACUCUGGGAUAACUCCGGGAAACCGGGGCUAAUACCGGAUACGACCGGGAGCGACAUCGCUCCUGGUGGAAAGAACUUCGGUGAGGGAUGGGCCCGCGGCCUAUCAGCUAGUUGGUGGGGUAACGGCCCACCAAGGCGACGACGGGUAGCCGGCCUGAGAGGGCGAACAGCCACACUGGACUGAGACACGGCCGAGACUCCUACGGGAGGCAGCAGUGGGGAAUAUUGCGCAAUGGGCGAAAGCCUGACGCAGCGACGCAGCGUGAGGGACGAAGGCCUUCGGGUUGUAAACCCCUUUCAGCGGGGACGAAGCGAAAGUGACGGUACCCGCAGAAGAAGCACCGGCUAACUACGUGCCAGCAGCCGCAGUAA